UUUAAGUGUAACCACGAGUUUCCGCGUCCAACUUUGAUCGUCCGUCUUAUUUGAAUUUUUUUUAUAAUUAGUAUUUUUUUUGUUAUGAGAUGAUAAAACAUGAAUAGUACUUUACUCGUGACUUAUGUUUUUAAAUUUUUUUUAACUUUUUUCAAAUAAGAUGGACGAUCAAAGUUGGGCGCGGAAAACCAUGGCUGCACUUAAA
Molecule: microRNA precursor, 205 nt
Organism: Oryza sativa Japonica Group (Japanese rice)
Lineage: Eukaryota; Viridiplantae; Streptophyta; Magnoliopsida; Poales; Poaceae
Rfam family: MIR812 microRNA precursor family
Source: Rfam